GGCAGGUAGCAUAUUCUAUAUAUUUCUCAUCGUCAGGGCAGGUAGCAUAUUUUAUAUAUUUCUCAUCGUCAGGGCAGGUAACAUAUUUUAUAUAUUUCUCAUCGUCAGGGCAGGUAACAUAUUUUAUAUAUUUCUCAUCAUCAGGACAGGUAACAUAUUUUAUAUAUUUCUCAUCAUCAGGACAGGUAACAUAUUUUAUAUAUUUCUCAUCAUCAGGACAGGUAAUUAUAACAUAUUUUAUAUAUUUCUCAUCAUCAGGACAGGUAACAUAUUUAGUAUAUUUCUCAUCAUCAGGACAGGUAACAUAUUUUAUAUAUUUCUCAUAGUCAGGACAUGUAACAUAUUUUAUAUAUUUCUCAUCAUCAGGACAGGUAACAUAUUUUAUAUAUUUUUCAUAGUCGGGACAGGUAACAUAUUUAGUAUAUUUCUCAAAGUCAGGACAGGUAACAUGUUUAGUAUAUUUCUCAUCAUCAGGACAGGUAACACAUUUUAUAUAUUUCUCAUAGUCAGGAGAAGGACAGGUAACAUAUUUUAUAUAUUUCUCAUAGUCAGGACAGGUAACAUAUUUAGUAUAUUUCUCAUAGUCAGGACAGGUAACAUAUUUUAUAUAUUUCUCAUAGUCAGGACAGGUAACAUAUUUAGUAUAUUUCUCAUCGUCAGGACAGGUAACAUAUUUUAUAUAUUUCUCAUAGUCAGGGCAGGUAACAUAUUUUAUAUAAUUCUC
Molecule: long non-coding RNA, 724 nt
Organism: Mizuhopecten yessoensis (Yesso scallop)
Lineage: Eukaryota; Metazoa; Mollusca; Bivalvia; Pectinida; Pectinidae
Exons: 3
Source: RefSeq, a predicted model, not a curated record